This 640-nucleotide ribosomal RNA is filed under the name uncultured Lachnospiraceae bacterium. RNAcentral's name for it is "bacterial SSU rRNA". It matches the Rfam family "Bacterial small subunit ribosomal RNA", at positions 102 to 759 of the family's 1533-position model. The record is from RNAcentral. Lineage: Bacteria; Bacillati; Bacillota; Clostridia; Lachnospirales; Lachnospiraceae.
ACGGGUGAGUAACACGUGAGCAACCUGGCUCUAAGAGGGGGACAACAGUUGGAAACGACUGCUAAUACCGCAUAACGUAUCGGGAUGGCAUCUUCCUGAUACCAAAGAUUUUAUCGCUUAGAGAUGGACCCGCGUCUGAUUAGCUAGUUGGUGAGGUAACGGCCCACCAAGGCGACGAUCAGUAGCCGACCUGAGAGGGUGACCGGCCACAUUGGGACUGAGACACGGCCCAAACUCCUACGGGAGGCAGCAGUGGGGAAUAUUGCACAAUGGGGGAAACCCUGAUGCAGCGACGCCGCGUGAAGGAAGAAGUAUUUCGGUAUGUAAACUUCUAUCAGCAGGGAAGAAAAUGACGGUACCUGACUAAGAAGCCCCGGCUAACUACGUGCCAGCAGCCGCGGUAAUACGUAGGGGGCAAGCGUUAUCCGGAUUUACUGGGUGUAAAGGGAGCGUAGGCGGUCUGACAAGUCAGAAGUGAAAGCCCGGGGCUCAACCUCGGGACUGCUUUUGAAACUGCCGGACUAGAUUGCAGGAGGGGUAAGUGGAAUUCCUAGUGUAGCGGUGAAAUGCGUAGAUAUUAGGAGGAACACCAGUGGCGAAGGCGGCUUACUGGACUGUAAAUGACGCUGAGGCUCGAAAG